This 539-nucleotide ribosomal RNA is filed under the name uncultured Fusobacterium sp. RNAcentral's name for it is "bacterial SSU rRNA". It matches the Rfam family "Bacterial small subunit ribosomal RNA", at positions 91 to 644 of the family's 1533-position model. The record is from RNAcentral. Lineage: Bacteria; Fusobacteriati; Fusobacteriota; Fusobacteriia; Fusobacteriales; Fusobacteriaceae.
UUGGGUGGCGGACGGGUGAGUAACGCGUAAAGAACUUGCCUCACAGACUGGGACAACAUCUGGAAACGGAUGCUAAUACCGGAUAUUAUGAUUUUAGUGCAUGCUAGAAUUAUGAAAGCUAUAUGCACUGUGAGAGAGCUUUGCGUCCCAUUAGCUAGUUGGAGAGGUAACGGCUCACCAAGGCGAUGAUGGGUAGCCGGCCUGAGAGGGUGAACGGCCACAAGGGGACUGAGACACGGCCCUUACUCCUACGGGAGGCAGCAGUGGGGAAUAUUGGACAAUGGACCGAGAGUCUGAUCCAGCAAUUCUGUGUGCACGAUGAAGUUUUUCGGAAUGUAAAGUGCUUUCAGUUGGGAAGAAAAGAAUGACGGUACCAACAGAAGAAGUGACGGCUAAAUACGUGCCAGCAGCCGCGGUAAUACGUAUGUCACAAGCGUUAUCCGGAUUUAUUGGGCGUAAAGCGCGUCUAGGCGGCUAUGUAAGUCUGAUGUGAAAAUGCGGGGCUCAACUCCGUAUUGCGUUGGAAACUGUGUAGCUAG